UACGUAGGUGGCUAGCGUUGUCCGGAUUUACUGGGCGUAAAGAGCGCGCAGGCGGUCGUUCAAGUCGAGUGUGAAAGCCCCCAGCUCAACUGGGGAGGGUCACUCGAUACUGAUCGACUCGAAGGCAGGAGAGGGAAGCGGAAUUCCCGGUGUAGUGGUGAAAUGCGUAGAUAUCGGGAGGAACACCAGUGGCGAAGGCGGCUUUCUGGCCUGUUCUUGACGCUGAGGCGCGAAAGCUAGGGUAGCAAACGGG
RNAcentral lists this ribosomal RNA (253 nucleotides) under uncultured bacterium. RNAcentral's name for it is "partial 16S ribosomal RNA". It matches the Rfam family "Bacterial small subunit ribosomal RNA", at positions 524 to 776 of the family's 1533-position model. The record is from RNAcentral.